This is a long non-coding RNA of Triticum dicoccoides, 423 nucleotides long. RefSeq lists it as uncharacterized. The record is from RefSeq and is a predicted model, not a curated record. The transcript is spliced from 2 exons. Lineage: Eukaryota; Viridiplantae; Streptophyta; Magnoliopsida; Poales; Poaceae.
AAAAUAUUGCACCUUUUUGAUCUUUCACAGAAAGAAACAUGGUAAGAAAGAAGCUGUGAAGGCUCUUGCUAACAGCAAUGGUGUGGAUGUUGAUGCGACUCGGAGGGAAUCGCAGCAGUUGGUGCAACUUGCGGAACAAGAAGAACAGGAGCUGAGGAUACUCGGGGUGUUUUAGUAAGGCUUAUGGCAACUGAUGUGGCGUUGAAGGAACAUUUGCUGCAUGGUUCCAAGGUUGAGGAAAAAGAGACAUUUAAGGUUUAAGUGGGUGACUAUUAAUCUGCAUGAAUAAUCAGUAUUCUGGUGUUGUCUUUUCCUUCACCAGUUGAAUGUUGUUUUGUGUUUUAAUGUAAUCGUGUUAUCUACCUGUGAUGAUGUAAAGUGGGUGAUGUGCAUGUUAUCUUGCCUACUUGAUGUUGUUUGAUC